AAUUUGUUUGUUUCGACGACCGCUCAACUACCCCAUCGCCACGUGUUUAAUGUCUGAACCAACUAACUUAUAGGCAUUGAUAUCUUUCUUUUCAAUGUUAAAAUAUUUGAAUUCCUCUUUCUUUGCUAAUUAAAAUAAAAAAUAAAGAAGAAGAAGUUCAUUUUAGAACCACGGCAGCAUCUUGUAUUAUGUAAUAUUAUAACAUGAAAUUGGAUUACACUUACA
RNAcentral lists this long non-coding RNA (225 nucleotides) under Malus domestica (apple). Its description in RNAcentral is "long non-coding RNA (MDOM_LNC009881)". The record is from RNAcentral. Lineage: Eukaryota; Viridiplantae; Streptophyta; Magnoliopsida; Rosales; Rosaceae.